This 502-nucleotide ribosomal RNA is filed under the name uncultured bacterium. Its description in RNAcentral is "bacterial SSU rRNA". It matches the Rfam family "Bacterial small subunit ribosomal RNA", at positions 29 to 524 of the family's 1533-position model. The record is from RNAcentral.
AUUGAACGCUGGCGGCGUGCUUAACACAUGCAAGUCGAUCGGUAACAGGUGUAGCAAUACAUGCUGACGAGAGGCGGACGGGUGAGUAAUGCUUGGGAAUCUGCCUAUUAGUGGGGGACAACCCGGGGAAACUCGGGCUAAUACCGCAUACGCUCUACGGAGGAAAGCCGGGACCGCAAGGCCUGGCGCUAAUAGAUGAGCCCAAGUCGGAUUAGCUAGUUGGUAGGGUAACGGCCUACCAAGGCGACAAUCCGUAGCUGGUCCGAGAGGACGACCAGCCACACCGGAACUGAGACACGGUCCGGACUCCUACGGGAGGCAGCAGUGGGGAAUAUUGGACAAUGGGGGCGAACCCUGAUCCAGCGACGCCGCGUGGGUGAAGAAGGCCUGCGGGUUGUAAAGCCCUUUCGGUGGGGAAGAAAAGUCUCGACCUAAUACGUCGGGACCUUGACGUAACCACUAAAGAAGCACCGGCUAACUCUGUGCCAGCAGCCGCCGUAAG